GACGAACGCUGGCGGCGUGCCUAAUACAUGCAAGUAGAACGCACAGUUUAUACCGUAGCUUGCUACACCAUAGACUGUGAGUUGCGAACGGGUGAGUAACGCGUAGGUAACCUGCCUGGUAGCGGGGGAUAACUAUUGGAAACGAUAGCUAAUACCGCAUAAUAUUAAUUAUUGCAUGAUAAUUAAUUGAAAGGUGCAAUUGCACCACUACCAGAUGGACCUGCGUUGUAUUAGCUAGUAGGUGAGGUAACGGCUCACCUAGGCGACGAUACAUAGCCGACCUGGGAGGGUGAUCGGCCACACUGGGACUGGGACACGGCCCAGACUCCUACGGGAGGCAGCAGUAGGGAAUCUUCGGCAAUGGACGAAAGUCUGACCGAGCAACGCCGCGGGAGUGAAGAAGGGUUUCGGAUCGUAAAGCUCGGUUGUAAGAGAAGAACGGGUGUGAGAGUGGAAAGUUCACACUGUGACGGUAGCUUACCAGAAAGAGACGGCUAACUACGUG
RNAcentral lists this ribosomal RNA (505 nucleotides) under uncultured bacterium. RNAcentral's name for it is "partial 16S ribosomal RNA". It matches the Rfam family "Bacterial small subunit ribosomal RNA", at positions 28 to 507 of the family's 1533-position model. The record is from RNAcentral.